UACGUAGGGCGCAAGCGUUAUCCGGAAUUAUUGGGCGUAAAGAGCUCGUAGGCGGUUUGUCGCGUCUGCCGUGAAAGUCCGGGGCUCAACUCCGGAUCUGCGGUGGGUACGGGCAGACUAGAGUGAUGUAGGGGGAGACUGGAAUUCCUGGUGUAGCGGUGAAAUGCGCAGAUAUCAGGAGGAACACCGAUGGCGAAGGCAGGUCUCUGGGCAUUAACUGACGCUGAGGCGCGAAAGCGUGGGGAGCAAACAGG
This 254-nucleotide ribosomal RNA is filed under the name uncultured bacterium. Its description in RNAcentral is "partial 16S ribosomal RNA". It matches the Rfam family "Bacterial small subunit ribosomal RNA", at positions 524 to 776 of the family's 1533-position model. The record is from RNAcentral.